GCCUUAAAUCCUUAGUUGUUGGCAAAACUGGCUGAUGAUCAGAGUUACCUAGAAGCUUUUAGUGAGUAAAGGUGUUGAGUCCCCAUCUCAAACCCUCUAUUUCAGACGCUCGUCAGGUGGACUUUGGAAUCUAUACUUUAACAGGCCCCAAGACUGACGGCAGCUUCCUCCAUUCACUUUAAUCCAGGUCCAUUGUGCAGUGCUGCUCAGAGGAACUGAACAUCUCCUUGACCUUGAGAUUCCCCAGGGUCAAUCUGGGAAGAUAAGAUGAGGACUCCGGAUUUUGAUUCAGGAUAAAGACUGCUCAGGGUCAUGAUGGAAGGCCAGAUAAUAAGCUAAGGGUGUUUGGGGGAAGGGGAAGGGAACCAGACAAAGGAGGUCAGACCCUGCAGGACUCUGAGAGUUCUGGCUGUGUUGGCCAGGACUUGAGGCUGGAGAAGCAAGCAAGGGCCUAAGGGCGAGUGGCCUUGAAUGCCAAAAUGGGGAGCUGGUACUCCAAGCUGUUGGGGAUGGAGAAAGAUCACUUGAGAGUAGUGUAGAGGGUGGAGUAGGGAGCCUGGCUCAAGCGCCCAGUGUGGGCCUAGUGCUGGGGUAGAGAAUAUGAGCCUGAGAGAGGAUGGAGGCUCACAGAGUCCAAGAUUCCAGGCCUGUGGCCUUGAGGAUUUCGGAGGUGAGACAGUAGUAUAGUUAGGAGUCUUGGAGGCAAGAAGGGAAGGGCAGAUACUAGCUCUACCACUCAUCCCCUGUGUGGCCUUGGGCAACUGGACCUGUUUCCUCCUCUACAAAAUGGGAUAAUAACAGGACUUAUGCCCAAGCUUUGUUGUGAGAAUUAUAGGAGAAAUACUUGUAAAGUGCUCAAUAAAUCUUAGUAAAUAUCA
This is a long non-coding RNA of Myotis brandtii (Brandt's bat), 878 nucleotides long. RefSeq lists it as uncharacterized. The transcript has 2 exons. NCBI's taxonomy places the organism in Eukaryota, Metazoa, Chordata, Mammalia, Chiroptera, Vespertilionidae. The record is from RefSeq and is a predicted model, not a curated record.